RNAcentral lists this ribosomal RNA (253 nucleotides) under uncultured bacterium. RNAcentral describes it as "partial 16S ribosomal RNA". It matches the Rfam family "Bacterial small subunit ribosomal RNA", at positions 524 to 776 of the family's 1533-position model. The record is from RNAcentral.
UACGAGAGCCUCGAGCGUUAUCCGGAAUUAUUGGGCGUAAAGGGUGCGUAGGUUGUUCUGUUAGUCUUUUGUCAAAGCCCCGGGCUUAACCUGGGAUCCGCAAAAGAUACGGCAGAACUUGAAAGUGCGAGAGGUUUACGGAACUCAUGGUGUAGGGGUGAAAUCCGUUGAUAUCAUGGGGAACACCAAAAGCGAAAGCAGUAAACUGGCGCAUAUUUGACACUGAAGCACGAAAGCGUGGGUAGCGAAUGGG